This 711-nucleotide ribosomal RNA is filed under the name Rhizoctonia solani. RNAcentral's name for it is "eukaryotic LSU rRNA". The stretch from base 254 to 407 matches the Rfam family "5.8S ribosomal RNA". The record is from RNAcentral. Lineage: Eukaryota; Fungi; Basidiomycota; Agaricomycetes; Cantharellales; Ceratobasidiaceae.
CCGUAGGUGAACCUGCGGAAGGAAUCAUUGUAUCUUAUUAGUGAGGGAGUUGAGUUGUUGCUGGGCCCUUUCCAACCUUUAUUUGAGCAGGAGGGGGCAUGUGCACACCUUUUUUUUCAUCCAUCACCCCCCCGGUCCACUUGUGAGACAGCAAUAGUUGGUGGAUUUAAUUCCAUCCAUUUGCUGUCUACUUAAUUUACACACACUCUACUUAAUUUAAACUGAAUGUAAUUGAUGUAACGCAUCUAAUACUAAGUUUCAACAACGGAUCUCUUGGCUCUCGCAUCGAUGAAGAACGCAGCGAAAUGCGAUAAGUAAUGUGAAUUGCAGAAUUCAGUGAAUCAUCGAAUCUUUGAACGCACCUUGCGCUCCUUGGUAUUCCUUGGAGCAUGCCUGUUUGAGUAUCAUGAAAUCUUCAAAGUAAACCUUUUGUUAAUUCAAUUGGUCUUUUUUACUUUGGUUUUGGAGGAUCUUAUUGCAGCUUCACACCUGCUCCUCUUUGUGCAUUAGCUGGAUCUCAGUGUUAUGCUUGGUUCCACUCGGCGUGAUAAGUUAUCUAUCGCUGAGGACACCCGUAAAAAAGGUGGCCAAGGUAAAUGCAGAUGAACCGCUUCUAAUAGUCCAUUGACUUGGACAAUAUUCUAUUUUAUGAUCUGACUCAAAAUCAGGUAGGACUACCCGCUGAACUUAAGCAUAUCAAUAAGCGGAGGA